AUUCUUUUUUUUACUGACAAACAUUAUCAAGAUUACAAUUAUUAUUAUUACUAUUAUUAUCAUUAUUACGAUUAUUAUUAUUUUUACUGUUAUUAUUAUCAAAGGUUGUAAAGACUGACAGACAGACAGACAGACAGACAGACACAGACAAAAGAAAGAUAGAUAGAGGUGUGUGUCACUUUUGCCCGCAUACCCACUACUGUCUGAAGGGGAAAUCAUACGGAAAGCCAAAAUGAGAAUAUAAACUUGAGGUUGACAAAAAAAUGAAAAUAAGCGUUGAUAUAAUACAGGAUCCUCACCUCUGGCAGGGAGCAGAAAAGGGUGUAUUAAGAUUUCGGUCAGUUAAAAGAAUUAUUGCUUUCGUAAUAAAAACUUAUCCAACAAAUAAAGGUACUUGGUCUAUUCUUAUUCCGAAGGAUCGUAUAUUGAUUAACGGUUGUUAUAAAGUUAACUGCUCCAGGAAUUGAAGAUACACCAAGGAGUGGACGAGUUAACGAGGGAGCGAGAACGAGCGGUACAAGUCAUAAAUUAAUAAUAAUGAUAACAAAAACGAUAAUAUUUAAUCCAUGAAGUAAAACACAUCAACACACACACACACACACACACACACACACACACAUUGUCAUCGAUCUAUCUCAGUGCGCAUACCUGUCCCAUCACCACGAGUGCAUUGUGUUUAGUGGUCACCUGCGAUAAUUAGGACAGCCACGCGCGCAGGGUCACGUGACGCACCUAUUACUGAGGGCGGCCGCGGGCACAGGAGGCGAGUGCUCUUCCUUGCCUUCAUUCCACUUUGUGACGCAUUCACUGACUGUGCGUGAGAGUGGCGGGGUGCAGAGGUGCGUGAAGGAGUGUUGCACCACCCGUAGCAGCUUCAUAUAACUAAGGUGCCUCCUUACUACCUAUAGACUGACUAACCACCAUCUUGACUACCACCACAGCAACCACUAUUACUACUACAACUACCACCACCACCAACAUUGCUCGCCACCACAAUUUGUCUGCCACAACCACAAGUGCGUCCUACCACAAUUUAAAUGCGAUACUUAUGACCACUGUGGUGACGGUAGUGAUGAAAUGGAUUGUGGUAGUAGUAAUGGUGGUGGUGGUAUUGUUGUUGUUGUUGUUGGUGGUGGUGGUGGUGGUGAUGGUGGUGGUGUAUGGAAAGUCAUGCUGGUAGGCGAAAAACAUGACUACAGUGGAAAUGUUAUGAUUCGCAUCAUCAGCAACAACAACAACAACAACAACAACAACAACAACAACAACAAUGAUGGCAGUAGUAGCAGUAGUAGUGAAUGGCCAUACAUAUUAUGAUGACUAUUUUGACUAUCAGGAGGCCGAUGUUGUGUGUCGGACUAUCGGUCUAAAAGGAGCCGUAAAAUUUACUAGGAAUAACUAUUUCGGUGAUAGUAAUAGUGUUCUACAAGGCAGCAUCAACCUCCUGACAGUCCUUCAUACAUCUGUCACCACUUGUGCGUACAUUUCUCUACCUAUAACGCUAUCUCCUACACCUCUCCCAGUUGGAUAGCCACGAUGGGCAAUUCUACAAGGCAGCAUAAACUUCAUGAAGGUAUGUCGUGGUGGAAGAGUUGGUAGCCCUGCACAUGGCCAUCCGAGAAUUACGUCACAGGUGGGCACAAGCCGCAGUCAUUCGCCGGCGCCUCCCUACAGUCUCAGGUAGCAGCGGCGAUGCGUAGUGCUGUUGCUUUGUAUUGAGUGAGCGUGAAAGAACCCUCGUGACGAUAUAUGGUGAUGGACGUGUGGGCCUUUACGUUGUGGAAACAGAAGUUGAGGGGCGGGGAACACUUAAUGGGUGGAUGACCAUCAUCAGGACCGCCAUUCCACCGCAUUCAUGGUCAUCCUACCCGCGCUCAUCCAGUCACGUCCCCAUAGUGCAGCGCCCCUCAUCUGUAUGUAUGCUCAAGAGACACGGAAAAAUGAACACUCGUGUCUCUGUGAAAUAUUGUGCGCCAUAAAGUCUCUUGUCCUCUA
This is a long non-coding RNA of Scylla paramamosain (green mud crab), 1992 nucleotides long. RefSeq lists it as uncharacterized. The record is from RefSeq and is a predicted model, not a curated record. Lineage: Eukaryota; Metazoa; Arthropoda; Malacostraca; Decapoda; Portunidae. The transcript is spliced from 6 exons.